AGUGAACGCUGGCGGUAGGCCUAACACAUGCAAGUCGAACGGCAGCACAGUAAGAGCUUGCUCUUACGGGUGGCGAGUGGCGGACGGGUGAGGAAUACAUCGGAAUCUACUUUUUCGUGGGGGAUAACGUAGGGAAACUUACGCUAAUACCGCAUACGACCUACGGGUGAAAGCAGGGGAUCUUCGGACCUUUCGCGAUUGAAUGAGCCGAUGUCGGAUUAGCUAGUUGGCGGGGUAAAGGCCCACCAAGGCGACGAUCCGUAGCUGGUCUGAGAGGAUGAUCAGCCACACUGGAACUGAGACACGGUCCAGACUCCUACGGGAGGCAGCAGUGGGGAAUAUUGGACAAUGGGCGCAAGCCUGAUCCAGCCAUACCGCGUGGGUGAAGAAGGCCUUCGGGUUGUAAAGCCCUUUUGUUGGGAAAGAAAAGCAGCAGGUUAAUACCCCGCUGUUCUGACGGUACCCAAAGAGUAAGCACCGGCUAACUUCGUG
This 492-nucleotide ribosomal RNA is filed under the name uncultured bacterium. RNAcentral describes it as "partial 16S ribosomal RNA". It matches the Rfam family "Bacterial small subunit ribosomal RNA", at positions 29 to 507 of the family's 1533-position model. The record is from RNAcentral.